GGCAGCCUUUUUACUCUGGGCUGAGAGCACGCAUAGCAAUGGUACUCUGAGUUCCUCUCGUUAGGUGGUUUGAAGCAGCUCCAGCAGCAGGCAGCACUGCUGCUACACAUCGUAUAGGAACACGUGCCUGCAAAUACAGAGCUGAAGCUAGCUGCUAAUUACAAAGACUAAGAACCCUCUCUGCUGACAUUGCUGCAGACAGAUUCACAGACUCCUGGCUUCCAGGGAAUACUGAGAUCU
RNAcentral lists this long non-coding RNA (240 nucleotides) under Phasianus colchicus (ring-necked pheasant). RNAcentral describes it as "lncRNA (ENSPCLG00000016135.1)". The record is from RNAcentral. Lineage: Eukaryota; Metazoa; Chordata; Aves; Galliformes; Phasianidae.